CCUUACCAGGUCUUGACAUCCUCUGACAACCCUAGAGAUAGGGCUUCCCCUUCGGGGGCAGAGUGACAGGUGGUGCAUGGUUGUCGUCAGCUCGUGUCGUGAGAUGUUGGGUUAAGUCCCGCAACGAGCGCAACCCUUGAUCUUAGUUGCCAGCAUUCAGUUGGGCACUCUAAGGUGACUGCCGGUGACAAACCGGAGGAAGGUGGGGAUGACGUCAAAUCAUCAUGCCCCUUAUGACCUUACAAUGGGCAGAACAAAGGGCAGCGAAGCCGCGAGGCUAAGCCAAUCCCACAAAUCUGUUCUCAGUUCGGAUCGCAGUCUGCAACUCGACUGCGUGAAGCUGGAAUCGCUAGUAAUCGCGGAUCAGCAUGCCGCGGUGAAUACGUUCCCGGGUCUUGGU
This 400-nucleotide ribosomal RNA is filed under the name uncultured bacterium. RNAcentral's name for it is "bacterial SSU rRNA". It matches the Rfam family "Bacterial small subunit ribosomal RNA", at positions 969 to 1383 of the family's 1533-position model. The record is from RNAcentral.